CCUACGGGAGGCAGCAGUGAGGAAUAUUGGUCAAUGGGCGUAAGCCUGAACCAGCCAAGUCGCGUGAGGGAUGAAGGUUCUAUGGAUCGUAAACCUCUUUUAUCAGGGAAUAAAGUGUGGGACGUGUCCUGUUUUGUAUGUCCCUCAUGAAUAAGGAUUCGCUAACUCCGUGCCAGCAGCCGCGGUAAUACGGAGGAUCCGAGCGUUAUCCGGGUUUAUUGGGUUUAAAGGGUGCGUAGGCGGCCUUUUAAGUCAGCGGGGAAAGUCUGUGGCUCAACCAUAGAAUUGCCGUUGAAACUGGGAGGCUUGAGUAUGUUUGAGGCAGGCGGAAUGCGUGGUGUAGCGGUGAAAUGCUUAGAUAUCACGCAGAACCCCGAUUGCGAAGGCAGCCUGCCAGGCCAUGACUGACGCUGAUGCACGAAAGCGUGGGGAUCAAACAGGAUUAGAUACCCGUGUAGUC
Molecule: ribosomal RNA, 460 nt
Filed under: uncultured bacterium
Lineage: Bacteria
Description: partial 16S ribosomal RNA
Rfam family: Bacterial small subunit ribosomal RNA
Source: RNAcentral